Molecule: ribosomal RNA, 431 nt
Filed under: uncultured bacterium
Lineage: Bacteria
Description: partial 16S ribosomal RNA
Rfam family: Bacterial small subunit ribosomal RNA
Source: RNAcentral
AACGAACGCUGGCGGCAGGCCUAACACAUGCAAGUCGAGCGCCCCGCAAGGGGAGCGGCGGGCGGGUGAGUAACGCGUGGGAAUAUGCCCUUUGCUACGGAAUAGUCUCGGGAAACUGGGGGUAAUACCGUAUACGCCCUUUGGGGGAAAGAUUUAUCGGCGAAGGAUUAGCCCGCGUUGGAUUAGGUGGUUGGUGGGGUAAUGGCCUACCAAGCCGACGAUCCAUAGCUGGUUUGAGAGGAUGAUCAGCCACACUGGGACUGAGACACGGCCCAGACUCCUACGGGAGGCAGCAGUGGGGAAUCUUAGACAAUGGGGGCAACCCUGAUCUAGCCAUGCCGCGUGAGUGAUGAAGGCCUUAGGGUUGUAAAGCUCUUUCAGCUGGGAAGAUAAUGACGGUACCAGCAGAAGAAGCCCCGGCUAACUCCGUG